RNAcentral lists this long non-coding RNA (341 nucleotides) under Olea europaea (common olive). RNAcentral's name for it is "long non-coding RNA (OEUR_LNC012771)". Lineage: Eukaryota; Viridiplantae; Streptophyta; Magnoliopsida; Lamiales; Oleaceae. The record is from RNAcentral.
UAAUUUAUAUGGCUUCACAAUCAAAACACUGAAACACAACAAAAUGCAUUUAGAUAAUUUCUAGUUCAGAAAAAUUAUUUAAACGAUGCUUAGGGGAAGUCAACAAAAAAGGUCAAACAGCCAGGCUCCAUAGGAAAUGGGAAGAGUAUAUGAGCUAGUGUUUUUAGAAAUUUUAUUGCCAAAUUUAACUUGAUUUAACAAAUGCAGAUGUUAUACUUCAUAUCAUUAUUGGCAUGUUUGGCAGGGAGGGUAUGAUAGGACUGGACAUUAUUAUGGAAGAAAAAGAAGCAGAAAUUUGUUUAUUAUAUUGUCUAGUCUUUUCGAGUUCUGCGUAUGAAAAU